RNAcentral lists this long non-coding RNA (1000 nucleotides) under Hordeum vulgare. Its description in RNAcentral is "long non-coding RNA (HVUL_LNC011361)". The record is from RNAcentral. Lineage: Eukaryota; Viridiplantae; Streptophyta; Magnoliopsida; Poales; Poaceae.
CUCUUUCCUUUUAUUUCUUUUUAUUUCUACAACUACUUCUUCCCUUCCCUUUCCUUUUUCUAUUGCAUUUCUUCUAUAAUGACCCUAGUAUCAGCAACUAGCUGACUGUCGCAAUAUACACUGAUUAUUUCCAUGUCGUCAUUCUAAAGACGAUUAACUUGAAAUACAAAACUUCAAUCUCGCAAUCUUGUUCUCUCGUUUGUGGUAAGGCUUGACUGUGUUUGUGACACGGUUGAGCUCAUUUAACUUGAACCUCAUAUGUAGGGUCGAGCGGGCCACACCAAGAGACCGUGCCAGAGAUCGAAUUGUCCUUGUUCUAUUCAGUGGGAUUGUUGAGGUCCUUGCAAGAUCCUGCUCUUUUCUCUUUCGACCAGCUCUUCCUUUCUUCUUGUUGGAGACAUCUACUUCUUGGCCCGCGACAAUCUUCUUUUUGGCGUCCAAUCAGAUUCUUUCAACAUAUCGUACAUGUAUGUUCAACAGGAUUGAGACUAGUAGCUUGUCGUCUGGUUGAAUAGAUCCAUCUGUGAGCUCGAUUACUAGGAGAGCGAAGUAAACACCAUGUCUCUCCUUAUUUGACAAUUCUUUUCUUUUCUGUUUACCUGGUACACACCUUCUUGACCUUCUUCAUCUUUUUGAAGUAUCCAAUUCACAACUUCAUCCUCUUCCUCUUCAUCUUCCUGUGGCAUCCAAUUCAUAGCUUCAUCCUCUCCCUCUUGAGGCAUCAUGUUCAAAUCAAUACCUCCAUCCUCUCCCUCUUGUGCUUCAUCCUAUCCCUCUUGAGGCAUCAUGUUCAAAUCUAUACCUCCAUCCUCUCCCUCUUGAGGCAUCAUGUUCAAAUCUAUACAUCCAUCCUCUCCCUCUUGAGCUUCUUCAUCUUCCUCUUCAGGCAUCAUGUUCAAAUUUAUAUCUUCAUCCUCUUCCUCUUGAUGUACCAUGUUCAAAAUCACACUCCUACAAUCAAUGACAAAAGAUGAGUACAGCAUGGUACCGUAAGUCCGUA